Molecule: transfer RNA, 73 nt
Filed under: Pelagomonas calceolata
Lineage: Eukaryota; Pelagophyceae; Pelagomonadales; Pelagomonadaceae
Description: tRNA-Cys
Rfam family: tRNA
About the family: Transfer RNA (tRNA) molecules are approximately 80 nucleotides in length.
Source: RNAcentral
GACUAUAUAGCAUAAAAGGUAAUGCGUCCGACUGCAACUCGGAGAAUGUUGGUUCGAUUCCAUCUUUAGUCUA